CCUACGGGUGGCAGCAGUAGGGAAUCUUCCACAAUGGACGAAAGUCUGAUGGAGCAACGCCGCGGGAGUGAAGAAGGGUUUCGGCGCGGAAAGCUCUGUUGGUAGUGAAGAAAGAUAGAGGAAGUAACUGGCCUUUACUUGACGGUAAUUACCUAGAAAGUCACGGCUAACUACGUGCCAGCAGCCGCGGUAAUACGUAGGUGGCAAGCGUUGUCCGGAUUUAUUGGGCGUAAAGCGAGUGCAGGCGGUUCCAUAAGUCUGAUGUGAAAGCCUUCGGCUCAACCGGAGAAUUGCAUCGGAAUCUGUUGAACUUGAGUGCAGGAGAGGAGAGUGGAACUCCAUGUGUAGCGGUGAAAUGCGUAGAUAUAUGGAAGAACACCAGUGGCGAAGGCGGCUCUCUGGUCUGCAACUGACGCUGAGGCUCGAAAGCGUGGGUAGCGAACAGGAUUAGAUACCCCUGUAGUC
RNAcentral lists this ribosomal RNA (465 nucleotides) under uncultured bacterium. RNAcentral's name for it is "partial 16S ribosomal RNA". It matches the Rfam family "Bacterial small subunit ribosomal RNA", at positions 338 to 795 of the family's 1533-position model. The record is from RNAcentral.